This is a long non-coding RNA of Talpa occidentalis (Iberian mole), 481 nucleotides long. RefSeq lists it as uncharacterized. The transcript is spliced from 4 exons. The record is from RefSeq and is a predicted model, not a curated record. Lineage: Eukaryota; Metazoa; Chordata; Mammalia; Eulipotyphla; Talpidae.
CAAAGUUCUUCAGACCAUCGAUGAGAUGAUCACUGAGAGAAGUUACAGCAAUUGUGCAGAGAGGCAAGAUGGAGUCACAGAGGUUUACUUUCUCACCUGAAACAACCAAAAGUAUCCUAUAUAUAUGUGAAACAAUUUUUUUCAAGACAUUAUCUAACUAAGGCAAUGAAGGACAAUGAUCCCUCAGAAAGAAAUGUGAUUACUAUCAAGUGGUCAUAUCUUAAUCCAUCAUCUAUUUUCUGACCCUCACCUGCCUAUUUCCACCAGUAACAGAGGCCAACAUAAGACCAGUUCCUUUUCAUCUUCAAUGGGAAUGACAUACAACCAACUAAACAUCCAAAUACUACAAAUCCAUCCCAGUGAGUGUGCAGUGAUAUCUCAUUGUGGUUUGGAUUUACAUUUCCCUAAAGACUAAUAAUGUUGACCAUCUUUCAUGUGCUUAUUGACCACUUGUAUAUCUUUUUGGAAGAUAACUCUACAU